GUAUGAAAGGAUAAACAUUUAUAUUCUAUAAUUUUAAUUUAAUUUUAAACUAUACUAAAGAUUAAAAUAUCUUUAUUAAAAAGGAAGACGACAAGACCCUAAAGAACUUAACUAAAAGAUUAACUGGGGAAGUUAUAUAAACAUAAUUUAUUAUUAAAAAUUCCAAUUUAAGCUUUUAAGAAUUUAAACAAAGUUACCAUAGGGAUAACAGCGCAAUUUAUAUCUCAAGAUCCUAUAAAAAUAUAAACUUAUGACCUCGAUGUUGAAUUAA
This 271-nucleotide ribosomal RNA is filed under the name Fageicera sp. 525 FL-2019. Its description in RNAcentral is "partial large subunit ribosomal RNA". Lineage: Eukaryota; Metazoa; Arthropoda; Arachnida; Araneae; Ochyroceratidae. The record is from RNAcentral.